Molecule: unclassified non-coding RNA, 354 nt
Filed under: soil metagenome
Description: partial contains 5.8S ribosomal RNA, internal transcribed spacer 2, and large subunit ribosomal RNA
Rfam family: 5.8S ribosomal RNA (bases 1-120)
Source: RNAcentral
GAUGAAGAACGUAGCGAAAUGCGAUAAGUAGUGUGAAUUGCAGAAUUCGGUGAAUCAUCGAAUCUUUGAACGCACAUUGCGCCUCCUGGUAUUCCGGGAGGCAUGCCUGUUCGAGCGUCAUUAAAAUCACUCAAGCUUAGGUUUACCUAUUGCUUGGUCUUGGAGAUGGAAGCCAAUUUAUUGGAAUCCUCUUCGAAAUUCAAUGGCGAAGACCCUUGCUCUCCCAAGUGUAGUAAUAACUUAUGUCACUGAAGGAAGCGAGAAAUCUUCUGCCGUAACCCCCAUAUUUUCUAUGAUUGACCUCGGAUCAGGUAGGGAUACCCGCUGAACUUAAGCAUAUCAAUAAGCGGAGGA